RNAcentral lists this unclassified non-coding RNA (240 nucleotides) under soil metagenome. RNAcentral's name for it is "partial contains 5.8S ribosomal RNA, internal transcribed spacer 2, and large subunit ribosomal RNA". The record is from RNAcentral.
AACACUGUUAACCUGCGGUACCUGCGGAAGGAUCAUUACAGAGUUGCAAAACUCCCACAAACCAUCGCGAAUCUUACCCGUACGGUUGCCUCGGCGCUGGCGGUCCGGAAGGCCCUCGGGCCCCCGGACCCUCGGGUCCCCCGCUCGCGGGGGGCUGCCCGCCGGAGUGCCGAAACCAAACUCUUGAUAUUUUAUGUCUCUCUGAGUAAACUUUUAAAUAAGUCAAAACUUUCAACAAUG